UCAAACUUGGUCAUUUAGAGGAAGUAAAAGUCGUAACAAGGUUUCCGUAGGUGAACCUGCGGAAGGAUCAUUAUUGAAUAUCUUGCCUUGAUGGGUUGUAGCUGGCCUCUUGAGGCAUGUGCACACCUGUCUUGACUCUAUUCAUCCACCUGUGCAUCUAUUGUAGUCCUUUGCUCUUGGUAGGUCAAGGAAAGCAGACGUUUAUUCAGUUGAGACAUACUGGUUUUGAGAAUUGCCUUUUCUGGCUAUCUCUUAUUCUGCAGAACUGUGCCUGCUAAAGAUAACAAGGGGCUAUGUUUCUUAUCAUAAACCUUGUAUGUUGUCAGAAUGUUAUUCAAUGGGCUAUUUAGGCCUAUAAAAAUCUAUACAACUUUCAGCAACGGAUCUCUUGGCUCUCGCAUCGAUGAAGAACGCAGC
RNAcentral lists this unclassified non-coding RNA (417 nucleotides) under uncultured fungus. RNAcentral describes it as "partial contains small subunit ribosomal RNA, internal transcribed spacer 1, and 5.8S ribosomal RNA". The stretch from base 1 to 73 matches the Rfam family "Eukaryotic small subunit ribosomal RNA", at positions 1759 to 1831 of the family's 1831-position model. The record is from RNAcentral. Lineage: Eukaryota; Fungi.